GGCAGAGAAGGCCGGAAGGGGACACCAUGUAGACAACAAAGGAAUAACAGGUCCCAACCCUUCUCCGAUAAGUUGCUUAGUUGAGAAGCACCAUGGACAGCACAGUGGCAUGCCUGGGACAUUCAGGAGGAGCUGGUAAUAAUACAUAUGCCACAGCACAGAGUGUACGGACUGCACUUCUCUAACAGUCCUCCAGGGUCUCAAACAUGCUCCAUGGAACUCUCUCUCAUUCACCAAGGCCUUCUUCUCUGUAAUGAAGUUCCUCUUGUUCACCGUGCCCAAGAAUGUGGAGUGGAACAAUGGUGCUUGCUGUGGAAGUAAAGAGUACAAUUCUUGGGCUGCUGUGAUGACUAGGAGGGUAAAGGCUUGCCACCAAGCCUAAUGAUGCGAGUUCAAUCCCC
RNAcentral lists this long non-coding RNA (401 nucleotides) under Cricetulus griseus (Chinese hamster). Its description in RNAcentral is "lncRNA (ENSCGRG00015040765.1)". Lineage: Eukaryota; Metazoa; Chordata; Mammalia; Rodentia; Cricetidae. The record is from RNAcentral.